This is a long non-coding RNA of Pelobates fuscus (common spadefoot toad), 218 nucleotides long. RefSeq lists it as uncharacterized. The transcript is spliced from 2 exons. Lineage: Eukaryota; Metazoa; Chordata; Amphibia; Anura; Pelobatidae. The record is from RefSeq and is a predicted model, not a curated record.
CAAAGCAAGCCAGCAGCACCUCGUGGGAAGAAAAUUGUCACUGAGGUUUCCUAAAGUUUAAGUGCACCCCUUGGCAAGCGGAGCGCGUUUUCACGGUGCUCGAUACUUGGUGCUUAUGGUUCACGAUGCUCAAGGUGUUAAAGAGAUUAAUGUUGGUGGUGUUCAACCCUCCUGCACACCCUUGAUGCAAAAGAAUAAAAGUACUGCACUUGUCAAAA